GAUGAACGCUGGCGGCGUGCCUAAUACAUGCAAGUCGAGCGAACAGACGAGGAGCUUGCUCCUCUGACGUUAGCGGCGGACGGGUGAGUAACACGUGGAUAACCUACCUAUAAGACUGGGAUAACUUCGGGAAACCGGAGCUAAUACCGGAUAACAUGUUGAACCGCAUGGUUCAACAGUGAAAGACGGUCUUGCUGUCACUUAUAGAUGGAUCCGCGCCGCAUUAGCUAGUUGGUAAGGUAACGGCUUACCAAGGCAACGAUGCGUAGCCGACCUGAGAGGGUGAUCGGCCACACUGGAACUGAGACACGGUCCAGACUCCUACGGGAGGCAGCAGUAGGGAAUCUUCCGCAAUGGGCGAAAGCCUGACGGAGCAACGCCGCGUGAGUGAGGAAGGUCUUCGGAUCGUAAAACUCUGUUAUUAGGGAAGAACAAAUGUGUAAGUAACUAUGCACGUCUUGACGGUACCUAAUCAGAAAGCCACGGCUAACUACGUG
RNAcentral lists this ribosomal RNA (497 nucleotides) under uncultured bacterium. RNAcentral describes it as "partial 16S ribosomal RNA". It matches the Rfam family "Bacterial small subunit ribosomal RNA", at positions 28 to 507 of the family's 1533-position model. The record is from RNAcentral.